This 801-nucleotide ribosomal RNA is filed under the name uncultured bacterium. RNAcentral's name for it is "bacterial SSU rRNA". It matches the Rfam family "Bacterial small subunit ribosomal RNA", at positions 60 to 821 of the family's 1533-position model. The record is from RNAcentral.
AGUCGAGCGAGUCUGCCUUGAAGAUCGGAGUGCUUGCACUCUGUGAAACAAGAUACAGGCUAGCGGCGGACGGGUGAGUAACACGUGGGUAACCUGCCCAAGAGAUCGGGAUAACACCUGGAAACAGAUGCUAAUACCGGAUAACAACAGAUGAUGCCUAUCAACUGUUUAAAAGAUGGUUCUGCUAUCACUCUUGGAUGGACCUGCGGUGCAUUAGCUAGUUGGUAGGGUAACGGCCUACCAAGGCGAUGAUGCAUAGCCGAGUUGAGAGACUGAUCGGCCACAUUGGGACUGAGACACGGCCCAAACUCCUACGGGAGGCAGCAGUAGGGAAUCUUCCACAAUGGACGCAAGUCUGAUGGAGCAACGCCGCGUGAGUGAAGAAGGGUUUCGGCUCGUAAAGCUCUGUUGUUGGUGAAGAAGGACAGGGGUAGUAACUGACCUUUGUUUGACGGUAAUCAAUUAGAAAGUCACGGCUAACUACGUGCCAGCAGCCGCGGUAAUACGUAGGUGGCAAGCGUUGUCCGGAUUUAUUGGGCGUAAAGCGAGUGCAGGCGGUUCGAUAAGUCUGAUGUGAAAGCCUUCGGCUCAACCGGAGAAUUGCAUCAGAAACUGUCGAGCUUGAGUACAGAAGAGGAGAGUGGAACUCCAUGUGUAGCGGUGAAAUGCGUAGAUAUAUGGAAGAACACCGGUGGCGAAGGCGGCUCUCUGGUCUGUUACUGACGCUGAGGCUCGAAAGCAUGGGUAGCGAACAGGAUUAGAUACCCUGGUAGUCCAUGCCGUAAACGAUGAGUGCUAAGU